RNAcentral lists this small RNA (1376 nucleotides) under Pan troglodytes (chimpanzee). Its description in RNAcentral is "processed transcript". The record is from RNAcentral. Lineage: Eukaryota; Metazoa; Chordata; Mammalia; Primates; Hominidae.
GUCUUCCGGCGCAGCUCCGUCCCUGUUUUCUGUGCUCCUCCGAGCUCGCUGUUCGUCCGGGUUUUUUACGUUUUAAUUUCCAGGACUUGAAGUGCCAUGUCCUCUGAAGAAGGAAAGCUCUUCGUGGGAGGGCUCAACUUUAACACCGACGAGCAGGCACUGGAAGACCACUUCAGCAGUUUCGGACCUAUCUCUGAGGUGGUCGUUGUCAAGGACCGGGAGACUCAGCGGUCCAGGGGUUUUGGUUUCAUCACCUUCACCAACCCAGAGCAUGCUUCAGUUGCCAUGAGAGCCAUGAAUGGAGAGGGGGUGGAGGGCAGCGGCAGACAGAGCCUGGCCGCCUGGGAGGCGACGACUGGUCCUGCAUGAGGCCGAGAAGCCACCUGUGGAUGGUUGACCUGCCUUGGGCUUAGGUAGUAGAGUCUGCAGACCUGUGGGCCUGGCCCGGAGAGGACCUCGUGAGUCUUCUGACAUGGACUCUGAAGCCUCAAACCAAGAGAGGUGUCUGUCUAGCCCUGAUAGUCGGGCAGCUUAGAGGAGUGGGGAGGAGAACUCAGCCUGAGUUCAGUCAAGAUUCUCUGGAUGGUCGUCAGAUCCGUGUGGAUCAUGCAGGCAAGUCUGCUCGGGGAACCAGAGGAGGUGGCUUUGGGGCCCAUGGGCGUGGUCGCAGCUACUCUAGAGGUGGUGGGGACCAGGGCUAUGGGAGUGGCAGGUAUUAUGACAGUCGACCUGGAGGGUAUGGAUAUGGAUAUGGACGUUCCAGAGACUAUAAUGGCAGAAACCAGGGUGGUUAUGACCGCUACUCAGGAGGAAAUUACAGAGACAAUUAUGACAACUGAAAUGAGACAUGCACAUAAUAUAGAUACACAAGGAAUAAUUUCUGAUCCAGGAUCGUCCUUCCAAAUGGCUGUAUUUAUAAAGGUUUUUGGAGUCGCACUGAAGCAUCUUAUUUUAUAGUAUAUCAACCUUUUGUUUUUAAAUUGACCUGCCAAGGUAGCUGAAGACCUUUUAGACAGUUCCAUCUUUUUUUUUUAAUUUUUUCUGCCUAUUUAAAGACAAAUUAUGGGACGUUUGUAGAACCUGAGUAUUUUUCUUUUUACCAGUUUUUUAGUUUGAGCUCUUAGGUUUAUUGGAGCUAGCAAUAAUUGGUUCUGGCAAGUUUGGCCAGACUGACUUCAAAAAAUUAAUGUGUAUCCAGGGACAUUUUAAAAACCUGUACACAGUGUUUAUUGUGGUUAGGAAGCAAUUUUCCAAAUGUACCUAUAAGAAAUGUGCAUCAAGCCAGCCUGACCAACAUGGUGAAACCCCAUCUGUACUAAACAUUAAAAAAUUAGCCCGGCGUGGUGGUGUACGCCUGUAAUCCCAGUGACUUGGGA